Molecule: ribosomal RNA, 301 nt
Filed under: uncultured bacterium
Lineage: Bacteria
Description: partial 16S ribosomal RNA
Rfam family: Bacterial small subunit ribosomal RNA
Source: RNAcentral
CAGCUGCCGCGGUAAUACGUAGGUGGCAAGCGUUGUCCGGAAUUAUUGGGCGUAAAGGGCUCGCAGGCGGUUUCUUAAGUCUGAUGUGAAAGCCCCCGGCUCAACCGGGGAGGGUCAUUGGAAACUGGGAAACUUGAGUGCAGAAGAGGAGAGUGGAAUUCCACGUGUAGCGGUGAAAUGCGUAGAGAUGUGGAGGAACACCAGUGGCGAAGGCGACUCUCUGGUCUGUAACUGACGCUGAGGAGCGAAAGCGCGGGGAGCGAACAGGAUUAGAUACCCCAGUAGUCCCUGUCUCUUAUAC